UUUUUAUGAGAGUUUGAUCCUGGCUCAGGACGAACGCUGGCGGCGUGCCUAAUACAUGCAAGUCGUACGCUUCUUUUUCCA
Molecule: ribosomal RNA, 81 nt
Filed under: Enterococcus faecium
Lineage: Bacteria; Bacillati; Bacillota; Bacilli; Lactobacillales; Enterococcaceae
Description: partial 16S ribosomal RNA
Rfam family: Bacterial small subunit ribosomal RNA
Source: RNAcentral